Small nucleolar RNA from Tachysurus vachellii, 78 nucleotides. RefSeq annotates it as small nucleolar RNA SNORD83. The record is from RefSeq and is a predicted model, not a curated record. Lineage: Eukaryota; Metazoa; Chordata; Actinopteri; Siluriformes; Bagridae. The transcript has a single exon.
GCCACAUGAUGCUUUAUAGACUUCAUUAGCAUUUUUGUGCGAAGAUGACCUUUGAUCUAUCACCCAAGACUGAUGGCG